ACGGGUGAGUAACACGUGGGCAACCUGCCCUUGAGACUGGGAUAACUUCGGGAAACCGGAGCUAAUACCGGAUAAUACAAGGAACCUCCUGGUUCCUUGUUGAAAGAUGGUUUCGGCUAUCACUUAAGGAUGGGCCCGCGGCGCAUUAGCUAGUUGGUGAGGUAACGGCUCACCAAGGCGACGAUGCGUAGCCGACCUGAGAGGGUGAUCGGCCACACUGGGACUGAGACACGGCCCAGACUCCUACGGGAGGCAGCAGUAGGGAAUCUUCCACAAUGGACGAAAGUCUGAUGGAGCAACGCCGCGUGAGUGAUGAAGGCCUUCGGGUCGUAAAGCUCUGUUGUUAGGGAAGAACAAGUGCGAGAGUAACUGCUCGCACCUUGACGGUACCUAACCAGAAAGCCACGGCUAACUACGUGCCAGCAGCCGCGGUAAUACGUAGGUGGCAAGCGUUAUCCGGAAUUAUUGGGCGUAAAGCGCGCGCAGGUGGUUUCUUAAGUCUGAUGUGAAAGCCCACGGCUCAACCGUGGAGGGUCAUUGGAAACUGGGGAACUUGAGUGCAGAAGAGGAAAGUGGAAUUCC
RNAcentral lists this ribosomal RNA (582 nucleotides) under uncultured bacterium. Its description in RNAcentral is "bacterial SSU rRNA". It matches the Rfam family "Bacterial small subunit ribosomal RNA", at positions 102 to 670 of the family's 1533-position model. The record is from RNAcentral.